RNAcentral lists this ribosomal RNA (467 nucleotides) under uncultured bacterium. RNAcentral describes it as "partial 16S ribosomal RNA". It matches the Rfam family "Bacterial small subunit ribosomal RNA", at positions 28 to 506 of the family's 1533-position model. The record is from RNAcentral.
GACGAACGCUGGCGGCGUGCUUAACACAUGCAAGUCGAACGGAAAGGCCCUGCUUUUGUGGGGUGCUCGAGUGGCGAACGGGUGAGUGACACGUGUGUAACCUCCCCUUGACUUUGGGAUAACUUCAGGAAACUGGGGCUCAUACCGGAUAGGAGCUCCUGCUGCAUAGUGGGGGUUGGAAAGUUUCGGCGGUUGGGGCAGGAGUCGCGGCUUAUCCGCUUGUUGGUGGGGUAGUGGCUUACCCAGGCUUUGACGGGUAGCCGGCCUGAGAGGGUGACCGGCCACAUAGGGACUGGGAAACGACCAAGACGCAUACGGGAGGCAGCGGUGGGGAAUAUAGCACAAAGGGCGGAAGCAUGAGGCAGCAACGCCGGGUGCGGGAUGACGGCUUUCGGGUUGGAAACCGCUUGCGCCUGUGACGAAGCGUGAGUGACGGUAAUGGGCAAAGAAGCACCGGCUAACUACGU